AUUGAACGCUAGCGGGAUGCCUUACACAUGCAAGUCGAACGGCAGCACGGACUUCGGUCUGGUGGCGAGUGGCGAACGGGUGAGUAAUGUAUCGGAACGUGCCUAGUAGCGGGGGAUAACUACGCGAAAGCGUAGCUAAUACCGCAUACGCCCUACGGGGGAAAGCAGGGGAUCGCAAGACCUUGCACUAUUAGAGCGGCCGAUAUCGGAUUAGCUAGUUGGUGGGGUAACGGCUCACCAAGGCGACGAUCCGUAGCUGGUUUGAGAGGACGACCAGCCACACUGGGACUGAGACACGGCCCAGACUCCUACGGGAGGCAGCAGUGGGGAAUUUUGGACGAUGGGGGAAACCCUGAUCCAGCCAUCCCGCGUGUGCGAUGAAGGCCUUCGGGUUGUAAGGCACUUUUGGCAGGAAAGAAACGUCAUGGGUUAAUACCCCGUGAAACUGACGGUACCUGCAGAAUAAGCACCGGCUAACUACGUGCCAGCAGCCGCGGUAAUACGUAGGGUGCAAGCGUUAAUCGGAAUUACUGGGCGUAAAGCGUGCGCAGGCGGUUCGGAAAGAAAGAUGUGAAAUCCCAGAGCUUAACUUUGGAACUGCAUUUUUAACUACCGAGCUAGAGUGUGUCAGAGGGAGGUGGAAUUCCGCGUGUAGCAGUGAAAUGCGUAGAUAUGCGGAGGAACACCGAUGGCGAAGGCAGCCUCCUGGGAUAACACUGACGCUCAUGCACGAAAGCGUGGGGAGCAAACAGG
Molecule: ribosomal RNA, 753 nt
Filed under: uncultured Achromobacter sp.
Lineage: Bacteria; Pseudomonadati; Pseudomonadota; Betaproteobacteria; Burkholderiales; Alcaligenaceae
Description: bacterial SSU rRNA
Rfam family: Bacterial small subunit ribosomal RNA
Source: RNAcentral